Molecule: long non-coding RNA, 316 nt
Filed under: Homo sapiens (human)
Lineage: Eukaryota; Metazoa; Chordata; Mammalia; Primates; Hominidae
Description: HSALNT0288399
Source: RNAcentral
GGUCUUCUCGCUGUGUGGUGGAGAAGGCACAUGGUGGAAGAGAUUGUCUACAGCUCCUUUCAUGCAACAAUGGCAGAAAUGAAUGUUUGCAACAGAGACCAGAAAGGACUAAAAUGUCUGGGCCUUUGCAGAAAAGUCUGUGAAUCUCUGGCGUUGAGUAAUUCUGUAAUAUCAGCUCAUUUCAGCAUACAUCUUAUGAUCAGGAGAGUUUAAUACGGAAGAAGAAUGAUACUAGAUCCAUUUUUGAUGUCACACACACAAAAAAAAACACAAGCCAACAGAUUCUCCUUCAGUUCCUUAUCUCAGUAAAUGGCAC